AACAGAAGCAAAAGGUACUUCACAUCUCUGUGGACAUGACAGGGAUGGUGGAGCAGAUAACCUGGCAGCACUGUAUUUUGCCACAAAGAAUGUUCAGCACUGGAGGAAGAACAGUCAGUCAUGGGAAUGUGUGUAUUAUGUUGUUAAAGCAGACAACCAAACCCUGAACCAAACUUCUCAAUAAACAUCUGCAAGCUUCA
Molecule: long non-coding RNA, 200 nt
Organism: Thalassophryne amazonica
Lineage: Eukaryota; Metazoa; Chordata; Actinopteri; Batrachoidiformes; Batrachoididae
Exons: 2
Source: RefSeq, a predicted model, not a curated record